Molecule: non-coding RNA, 205 nt
Filed under: Paenibacillus pectinilyticus
Lineage: Bacteria; Bacillati; Bacillota; Bacilli; Caryophanales; Paenibacillaceae
Source: RNAcentral
UACAUAAAUUGCGAAAAAGGUGCGCUUACGAAAUCAAAAUCGAAAGUGCUUAAAAGGGAAGUCAGGUGUAAAACCUGCGCGGUCCCGCCACUGUAAAUGCGGAGUUACUUUUCUAUCAGGCCACUGUCCACGUUAAUGGGAUGGGAAGGCGAAAAGUUUACGAAGAUGCAUGAGCCAGGAUACCUGCCUAAUUUCGUUGUUGCUC